This is a long non-coding RNA of Nothobranchius furzeri (turquoise killifish), 445 nucleotides long. RefSeq lists it as uncharacterized. NCBI's taxonomy places the organism in Eukaryota, Metazoa, Chordata, Actinopteri, Cyprinodontiformes, Nothobranchiidae. The record is from RefSeq and is a predicted model, not a curated record.
GCAUGUCAAGUGUGCCUCAGAGUCUUACCCCACCCACGUAUCAAUUUUGAAAACUGCAACAUUAGUAGGCGUUGCCUGGAGGACCGAGAGGGCGGAGCCGUGGCAGUGACGAAGAGACGGCUAACUAGACGAAGCUAGCUCCCUUCACUCUGAGCAGUCAUUAGAAGUGGAGGACGUUUCUCCCCCUCCUUACCCAGACACUCGAGAAGAAAGGGACCAAGUCUAUUUGGAGGAGACAAGCGGACAUGAGCCUUAUUGUUUUGAGCUUGUGAGUUGCCUGAAAUUACUGGAACCGACCCAACAGACCCAUCUCUGAACGUGAUCCUCUGGUGUCUGCAGCUGGUCUCCUGCUGAUGUCGUCGGGAUCAGGAACUUCCAGAAGAAUGUGCCUUUCAAUGACUCUUUCCCCCUUAUUUGUUAUAUUAAUUAAAUAAAUCUCAAUUUA